UCUCUGCUGCCGGCUCUGCUCAUCGGUUGAACCGACGCUGUUCAAAUCUGUGCGUCGGAUCAACCGGUGAGUUAUACCGUGCUGUGUCUUGCGCUGUUUCUUCGUGUUUGCUUCCGCACUUGUUCACGCUUUGUUCCUAGGGGUGUUUAGUGUUGGUGUAACUCUUCAUAGCUACUCCACACGUCACCUAGGACUCGAGGGUUUGGGUGUACACUUGGGAAUCAACCAAAUCACUUCAAGAGGUGAAAUUUUUAUUUGGCUCCCAUUAACCCUCCUCUGGUCGCCUUUCGGGCCCCUCGAUAGCCUUCGGUGGCAACACAUCCCGUCUAGUCUGAUUUUCAGUCAGGCUUCCUGGGUGAACCUGGGGCCAAAAGCAAUCGAACUAUUAUUUUUCUCUUUUCUGGAGUUAGUUGGGCGCCUUGGCGCACCAGGAAUGACUGGGUCUUCUCAGACAUCCUGGUGAAACACCCAAAAUAUAGCUCGUAGAGCUUUUGGAUUUCUUCAGCACUGGUGUCUCCUGUCGACCAAGGAAGCGAAGAGGGCGGCGGAGGAUCUGUUGAACAAGCUUCAUGUGGAGCUCCAGGCGAUCUGAAGACAGGGAUGCUUGUCUUUUAAUCUGUGUUUUCUGCUUUCUCUUGCUUUUUUGUUCCUGACAGCUCUAGGAUGGAGAGCAGGUAAGAUCUGGAGAGAGCUUUCUGUUCCUUCUUUUGUUCUAGCUGGUUUCUUCCGACUCCUUUGUUAUGCGGUGGAGAGAGGGAAGGUUUUGGAGUGAGCCGUGCGCUCUUUUUCUUCAUGUAAGCUGGUGGCCUCGGCAGAGUUGUUACCUAUUUGCUUUCAAUUUAAAGCAGGACCAAGGGGUCUUUGGUCUAAAAGCACCCCCAUCCAUAGGCCAUCCCUUGAAGAAUAUCCUCGAAAUGUCCGGAGUUGGAUUGGCCACGAGAAUCAACGUACUUUAAUGAUGAAAGGUAGCAUUGAUCUGAACCAAGCUGCACCGAGCUUCGAUUCGGCAGCUAGCAGGGACGUGGAGGAGAAGUUAAAGGGUAAGCCGAAUGGAAAGAGUAAACAAGUUAGCACACAACAAUGUAGGUGUUACAAAGUUGUACAGCAUUCUCGUUACUUUCUUUGGUUCAAUGGAAAAUGUUUGGACAACGAAGCGCUGCUUGAAAAAUCUAUGCCAGAAGAUCAAUAGAGAGUUGGCAAUUGAUGAUAUAAAUAAGACAUUGGGUCUGUUCAGAGAUUUAAGGAAAAUAGACCCAGGUUUUGUUUACAGUGUUGAGACAGAUAGUGAAGGUUGCAUUAAAACACUGAUGUGGACAAAUAGUAGAAACCGGAUGCAGUACCUUCAUUUUGGGGAUGUAAUCACCUUUGACACAACAUACAAGACAAAUCUGUAUGAUAUGCCAUUUGGAUUGUUUGUUGGGGUAAACAAUCAUUUCCAAAGUGUGUUGCUUGGAGGUGUGGUGACGACGGAUGAGACAAUUGAAAGUUUCAGAUGGGUUUUCAAGGAGUGUG
Molecule: long non-coding RNA, 1512 nt
Organism: Panicum virgatum (switchgrass)
Lineage: Eukaryota; Viridiplantae; Streptophyta; Magnoliopsida; Poales; Poaceae
Exons: 3
Source: RefSeq, a predicted model, not a curated record